RNAcentral lists this ribosomal RNA (387 nucleotides) under uncultured bacterium. RNAcentral describes it as "bacterial SSU rRNA". It matches the Rfam family "Bacterial small subunit ribosomal RNA", at positions 30 to 417 of the family's 1533-position model. The record is from RNAcentral.
AUUGAACGCUGGCGGCAUGCCUUACACAUGCAAGUCGAACGGCAGCACGGGAGCAAUCUUGGUGGCGAGUGGCGAACGGGUGAGUAAUAUAUCGGAACGUGCCCAGUCGUGGGGAUAACGUAGCGAAAGCUACGCUAAUACCGCAUACGAUCUAUGGAUGAAAGCGGGGGAUCGCAAGACCUCGCGCGAUUGGAGCGGCCGAUAUCAGAUUAGGUAGUUGGUGAGGUAAAGGCUCACCAAGCCGACGAUCUGUAGCUGGUCUGAGAGGACGACCAGCCACACUGGGACUGAGACACGGCCCAGACUCCUACGGGAGGCAGCAGUGGGGAAUUUUUGGACAAUGGGCGCAAGCCUGAUCCAGCAAUGCCGCGUGCAGGAUGAAGGCCU